RNAcentral lists this ribosomal RNA (544 nucleotides) under Prymnesium parvum. Its description in RNAcentral is "partial Bacterial large subunit ribosomal RNA". It matches the Rfam family "Bacterial large subunit ribosomal RNA", at positions 1244 to 1891 of the family's 2925-position model. The record is from RNAcentral. Lineage: Eukaryota; Haptophyta; Prymnesiales; Prymnesiaceae.
AAGCCGGUGAAGGUCAACCGUGAGGUUGGCUGGAGGUAUCGGAAGUGAGAAUGCUGACAUGAGUAACGAUAAACAGUGUGAGAAACACUGUCGCCGAAAGACCAAGGGUUCCUGCGUAAAGCUAAUCUGCGCAGGGUUAGCCGGCCCCUAAGGCGAGGCAGAAAUGCGUAGUCGAUGGGAACCACGUUAAUAUUCGUGGGCCUGGGAGUGUGUGACGGAUUUCGAAAGUUGUCAUCCCUUAUCGGAUUGGGAUGGCGGCCUGGAAGUCCCUGGAAAUAGCCCUCCCAUAUAGACCGUACCCUAAACCGACACAGGUGGACUGGUAGAGAAUACCAAGGCGCUUGAGAGAACGAUGUUGAAGGAACUCGGCAAAAUACCUCCGUAAGUUCGCGAGAAGGAGGCCCAGUUUCUACGCAAGUAUUGACUGGGGGCACAAACCAGGGGGUGGCGACUGUUUACUAAAAACACAGGGCUCUGCGAAGUGGCUAACACGACGUAUAGGGUCUGACGCCUGCCCGGUGCCGGAAGGUUAAUUGAUGGGGUU